RNAcentral lists this ribosomal RNA (1478 nucleotides) under Bacteroides sp. CIP103040. Its description in RNAcentral is "16S ribosomal RNA". It matches the Rfam family "Bacterial small subunit ribosomal RNA". The record is from RNAcentral. Lineage: Bacteria; Pseudomonadati; Bacteroidota; Bacteroidia; Bacteroidales; Bacteroidaceae.
UCCUGGCUCAGGAUGAACGCUAGCUACAGGCUUAACACAUGCAAGUCGAGGGGCAUCAGGAAGAAAGCUUGCUUUCUUUGCUGGCGACCGGCGCACGGGUGAGUAACACGUAUCCAACCUGCCCUUUACUCGGGGAUAGCCUUUCGAAAGAAAGAUUAAUACCCGAUAGCAUAAUGAUUCCGCAUGGUUUCAUUAUUAAAGGAUUCCGGUAGAGGAUGGGGAUGCGUUCCAUUAGGUUGUUGGUGAGGUAACGGCUCACCAAGCCUUCGAUGGAUAGGGGUUCUGAGAGGAAGGUCCCCCACAUUGGAACUGAGACACGGUCCAAACUCCUACGGGAGGCAGCAGUGAGGAAUAUUGGUCAAUGGGCGCUAGCCUGAACCAGCCAAGUAGCGUGAAGGAUGAAGGCUCUAUGGGUCGUAAACUUCUUUUAUAUAAGAAUAAAGUGCAGUAUGUAUACUGUUUUGUAUGUAUUAUAUGAAUAAGGAUCGGCUAACUCCGUGCCAGCAGCCGCGGUAAUACGGAGGAUCCGAGCGUUAUCCGGAUUUAUUGGGUUUAAAGGGAGCGUAGGUGGACUGGUAAGUCAGUUGUGAAAGUUUGCGGCUCAACCGUAAAAUUGCAGUUGAUACUGUCAGUCUUGAGUACAGUAGAGGUGGGCGGAAUUCGUGGUGUAGCGGUGAAAUGCUUAGAUAUCACGAAGAACUCCGAUUGCGAAGGCAGCUCACUGGACUGCAACUGACACUGAUGCUCGAAAGUGUGGGUAUCAAACAGGAUUAGAUACCCUGGUAGUCCACACAGUAAACGAUGAAUACUCGCUGUUUGCGAUAUACAGUAAGCGGCCAAGCGAAAGCAUUAAGUAUUCCACCUGGGGAGUACGCCGGCAACGGUGAAACUCAAAGGAAUUGACGGGGGCCCGCACAAGCGGAGGAACAUGUGGUUUAAUUCGAUGAUACGCGAGGAACCUUACCCGGGCUUAAAUUGCAGUGGAAUGAUGUGGAAACAUGUCAGUGAGCAAUCACCGCUGUGAAGGUGCUGCAUGGUUGUCGUCAGCUCGUGCCGUGAGGUGUCGGCUUAAGUGCCAUAACGAGCGCAACCCUUAUCUUUAGUUACUAACAGGUUAUGCUGAGGACUCUAGAGAGACUGCCGUCGUAAGAUGUGAGGAAGGUGGGGAUGACGUCAAAUCAGCACGGCCCUUACGUCCGGGGCUACACACGUGUUACAAUGGGGGGUACAGAAGGCAGCUAGCGGGUGACCGUAUGCUAAUCCCAAAAGCCUCUCUCAGUUCGGAUCGAAGUCUGCAACCCGACUUCGUGAAGCUGGAUUCGCUAGUAAUCGCGCAUCAGCCACGGCGCGGUGAAUACGUUCCCGGGCCUUGUACACACCGCCCGUCAAGCCAUGGGAGCCGGGGGUACCUGAAGUACGUAACCGCAAGGAUCGUCCUAGGGUAAAACUGGUGACUGGGGCUAAGUCGUAACAAGGUA